This 291-nucleotide small RNA is filed under the name Bradyrhizobium ivorense. Its description in RNAcentral is "5' ureB small RNA". It matches the Rfam family "5' ureB small RNA". Lineage: Bacteria; Pseudomonadati; Pseudomonadota; Alphaproteobacteria; Hyphomicrobiales; Nitrobacteraceae. The record is from Rfam by way of RNAcentral.
GUGCUCGAUCUGCUGCGGACAGAUGAAAUGGAUGUGGCUGUCGAAGCCGCCAGCGGUGAGGAUUUUUCCUUCGCCUGCGAUCACGUCGGUGCCGGGACCGAUGAUGAUGGUGACAUUGGGCUGGAUGUCGGGAUUGCCGGCCUUGCCGAUCGCCGCGAUCAUGCCUUCCUUGAUCGCGACAUCGGCUUUGACGAUGCCCCAGUGAUCGACGAUCAGCGCAUUGGUGAUGACGGUGUCGGCCGCGCCCUGCGCAUUGGUCACCUGCGACUGUCCCAUGCCGUCGCGGAUCAC